GAUGAAGAACGUAGCGAAAUGCGAUACGUAAUGUGAAUUGCAGAAUUCAGUGAAUCAUCGAAUCUUUGAACGCACAUUGCGCCUGCCAGCACUCUGGCAGGCAUGCCUGUUCGAGCGUCAUUUCAACCAUCAAGCCCUAGGCUUGCGUUGGAGCCCUGCGGCUGCCGCAGGCCCCUAAAAGCAGUGGCGGGCUCGCUAUCACACCGAGUGCAGUAGAUUACUCUUCGCUCAGGGCGUGUGGCGGGUUCCAGCCGUGAAACCCCCUACUUCUCAAGGUUGACCUCGGAUCAGGUAGGAAUACCCGCUGAACUUAAGCAUAUCAAUAAGCGGA
Molecule: unclassified non-coding RNA, 331 nt
Filed under: soil metagenome
Description: partial contains 5.8S ribosomal RNA, internal transcribed spacer 2, and large subunit ribosomal RNA
Rfam family: 5.8S ribosomal RNA (bases 1-120)
Source: RNAcentral